This 838-nucleotide small RNA is filed under the name Pongo abelii (Sumatran orangutan). RNAcentral's name for it is "retained intron". Lineage: Eukaryota; Metazoa; Chordata; Mammalia; Primates; Hominidae. The record is from RNAcentral.
CAAAAAUGUAAAGGUAGAAUAUUUUGACUUGCUGUUCAGUCAAUAAAAUCUCAUACCUCAUGAGUGAGUCUUAUUUACUGUGAGGAACUUGACAAGCUAACCCUUCUCCAAAUCUAGGAUAGUUACAGAUUCUCUUACAAAUUCAUGGCAACCUCAAGAAAGGAUGGUGAAAAAGCACUAAUGUACAGUCUCAGGCAUGAUAGAUGCUUUUUACAUCAUGGGGAACUGGCCAACAAUUAUGAGAGUUAUGCCAUUAAUAUUCCUUACCUGAAAAUGCCUUGUAUGUAUGUGGGUACCCCUUUGAAAUAAUUAAACAAGUUAUACAUCAGCUAGUUGCCUUCAGAUAGUCAACAUCUCAGAACAUGUCACUUCUGAUGGUACCAAGUAUUGCAGAAAUGGUUUGUUUUCCUUUUUGGAUUGUACUCUACGCUUACUUGAAUUUCUUUCUUUUUUCUAUAUUCCUUUUAGCGCAUGAUUGCAAAUACGGCCAGAACAGUGAGAUACUACAGGAGCCAACCCUUCAAUCCUGAUGCAGCUCAAGCUAAUAAGAACCAUCAGGAUGUCUGGAGUUAUGUACGGCAAUUAAAUGUGAUUGACAACCAGAGAACUUUAUCACAGAUGUCACACAGAUUAGAGCCUCGUCGACCAUAGACAUUUCAAAUGCCCAGAGCAACAGUUUGUCUCCAGUCCACAAUCUUUCAAAAAUGCCAUUUAUGCUACUACUGACUGUAUUGCCACUAGAGAAUUCUACAAAACAAGCAAAAACACAUCCUGAGACACCUCAGGGCUGCAUUCAGCUUACCAGCUACCUGGCAAGAGAAGGAAUUAUUUGACUUGC